This 259-nucleotide ribosomal RNA is filed under the name uncultured bacterium. Its description in RNAcentral is "partial small subunit ribosomal RNA". It matches the Rfam family "Bacterial small subunit ribosomal RNA", at positions 26 to 285 of the family's 1533-position model. The record is from RNAcentral.
AGAAUCAACGCUGGCGGCGUGCCUAACACAUGCAAGUCGAACGAGAAAGUGGAGCAAUCCAUGAGUAAAGUGGCGACCGGGUGAGUAACACGUGACUAACCUACCUUCGAGUGGGGGAUAACCUAGGGAAACCUGGGCUAAUACCGCAUAACAUCUUUGGAUCGGAAGAACUGGAGAUCAAAGGGCAAUUCGCUUGAAGAGGGGGUCGCGGCUGAUUAGCUAGUUGGCGGGUAAUGGCCCACCAAGGCUUUGAUCGGUA